This 636-nucleotide long non-coding RNA is filed under the name Androctonus crassicauda. The record is from RNAcentral. Lineage: Eukaryota; Metazoa; Arthropoda; Arachnida; Scorpiones; Buthidae.
CUUAUCUUAUUGAGGACUGUGGUUGCUCUGUGUUGGGCUGGCUUCUUCAUUUUCUUAGACAUGUUUUUUAUGGAGUUAAGCUUGGUUAGUCUGUAUGUAUUGGGAUAUAUUUGGGGUCUUGCCCUUCUCUCCUAUUUUCAUUAGUUGUGUCUGGCAGUUCUGUCUUGUAUAGACUUCAUAAAGCCAAUUUGAUACCUGUGCUGUUUUCCUGAUUGAUAGAUAUAAUGAACUUCUUGUUGUAGAUCUAUCUGGUUCGUGCAGUACUUGUACACUCUUCUGAAGAAGGCUCUAAAGGCCGAUUUUUUGAAGGAUACUGGGUCCGGCAACCAGUUCGGUAUGAUAAUUGGCCUGUACUGGGGUUUCAUGUACACAUUUGUUGCGAUCGUGUCCCCCAUCAGGGUGAUAUUAAUAUCAAGGAAAUUUAUUUUCUCACUGCUUAUCUGGGUUUUCUUCAGCUUCAGGCCGCAUGUUGGGAUUGUUAACAGGUCUUCUAGGUUCGACAACUUAUCCUUAUUUUCCCAUAUGGCUAGUAUGUCAUCAACAUACCGUAUGUAUAAGGUGGGGGCCGGCUCUAUCCUGGGGAGUAUUGAUCUUUCGUAUUGUCUCGAGUAUUUCUGUUAGUGGCCAUGCCAUCGG